Molecule: transfer RNA, 63 nt
Filed under: Dipodomys ordii (Ord's kangaroo rat)
Lineage: Eukaryota; Metazoa; Chordata; Mammalia; Rodentia; Heteromyidae
Rfam family: tRNA
About the family: Transfer RNA (tRNA) molecules are approximately 80 nucleotides in length. Their secondary structure includes four short double-helical elements and three loops (D, anti-codon, and T loops).
Source: Rfam by way of RNAcentral
GGGAAGGUGGCUCAGUGGUAGAGCGCUUGCCUUGCAUGCAUGAGGCCCUGAGCCACCUUCCCA